UACGGAGGGUGCAAGCGUUAUCCGGAUUCACUGGGUUUAAAGGGUGCGUAGGUGGGUUUGUAAGUCAGUGGUGAAAUCUCCAAGCUUAACUUGGAAACUGCCGUUGAUACUAUAAAUCUUGAAUGUUGUGGAGGUGAGCGGAAUAUGUCAUGUAGCGGUGAAAUGCUUAGAUAUGACAUAGAACACCAAUUGCGAAGGCAGCUCACUACACAAGGAUUGACACUGAGGCACGAAAGCGUGGGGAUCAAACAGG
RNAcentral lists this ribosomal RNA (253 nucleotides) under uncultured bacterium. Its description in RNAcentral is "partial 16S ribosomal RNA". It matches the Rfam family "Bacterial small subunit ribosomal RNA", at positions 524 to 776 of the family's 1533-position model. The record is from RNAcentral.